CUCUUUUAUUCAAGCCAUAAUGUUCUUUAUUUUCUAGGGUAAAGGUGCAAAAGCCUUGCGCAAGAAAGAAAAAAGAAAACUGAGAAAAGCUGAACAGGAUCAAAAUAUUGUUGUUGAAGACACUGAAUUACUGAGUAAAGCUCAGUUAAAAAAAUUAGUGAGACAGCCAACAAAUAAUAUUCGGCCAUCAGGUAAAAGAAAAAGGAAAAUGCUGAAAAGAUUGAGACAUUCACAAAAGGAGGAAAAUCACAUGGAUGUUGAGGUUGCAAGUGGUGCUGGUGGUGGAAGAAGGUCAAAGGUCAAGGACAUUGCCAUGAAACCAAAUGAAGAAAUGUGUGACAAUGAAUAGACAACAAAAGAUGCUUAAAUGUCAUGAUCUGUUGAUAAUCUACUUUAAAAGGAUUUACUGUUAAAGUACUACUUAAGCUAACAAUUAACACUUCUUUAUAAAGACUAGAUUUGAAAUACAUUUCUUUCAGGACUUUCAUUUAUUCUGUACCAUAAUCAUAUGAUAAAGAGAUUAUCAUUU
Ruditapes philippinarum (Manila clam) is the source of this 529-nucleotide long non-coding RNA. RefSeq lists it as uncharacterized. Lineage: Eukaryota; Metazoa; Mollusca; Bivalvia; Venerida; Veneridae. The transcript has 3 exons. The record is from RefSeq and is a predicted model, not a curated record.